AUUGAACGCUGGCGGCAGGCUUAACACAUGCAAGUCGAGCGGGGGAAGGUAGCUUGCUACCGGACCUAGCGGCGGACGGGUGAGUAAUGCUUAGGAAUCUGCCUAUUAGUGGGGGACAACAUCUCGAAAGGGAUGCUAAUACCGCAUACGUCCUACGGGAGAAAGCAGGGGAUCUUCGGACCUCGCGCUAAUAGAUGAGCCUAAGUCGGAUUAGCUAGUUGGUGGGGUAAAGGCCUACCAAGGCGACGAUCUGUAGCGGGUCUGAGAGGAUGAUCCGCCACACUGGGGCUGAGACACGGCCCAGACUCCUACGGGAGGCAGCAGUGGGGAAUAUUGGACAAUGGGGGGAACCCUGAUCCAGCCAUGCCGCGUGUGUGAAGAAGGCCUUAUGGUUGUAAAGCACUUUAAGCGAGGAGGAGGCUACUCUAGUUAAUACCUAGGGAUAGUGGACGUUACUCGCAGAAUAAGCACCGGCUAACUCUGUGCCAGCAGCCGCCGUAA
RNAcentral lists this ribosomal RNA (501 nucleotides) under uncultured bacterium. Its description in RNAcentral is "partial 16S ribosomal RNA". It matches the Rfam family "Bacterial small subunit ribosomal RNA", at positions 30 to 523 of the family's 1533-position model. The record is from RNAcentral.